This 29-nucleotide non-coding RNA is filed under the name Mus musculus (house mouse). Lineage: Eukaryota; Metazoa; Chordata; Mammalia; Rodentia; Muridae. The record is from RNAcentral. RNAcentral also lists the same sequence under 1 other name.
UCACAGAAUUUAAGGAUGCCAAACCAUUG